GAGGGUGUAGCUCAAGCAGUAGAGUGCGUGCUUAGCAUGCCCGAGGUCCUGGGUUCAAUCCCCAGCACCUCCU
Molecule: transfer RNA, 73 nt
Filed under: Camelus dromedarius (Arabian camel)
Lineage: Eukaryota; Metazoa; Chordata; Mammalia; Artiodactyla; Camelidae
Also listed under: 1 other name
Rfam family: tRNA
About the family: Transfer RNA (tRNA) molecules are approximately 80 nucleotides in length. Their secondary structure includes four short double-helical elements and three loops (D, anti-codon, and T loops).
Source: Rfam by way of RNAcentral